AAGACUAUGUGUAACUGGCGAAACGCGGAUAACCGCGGGGGAGCACAUAGUGUCGCAGCCGUUCGCCUGGGCAGAGGUA
Bacillus sp. HMSC76G11 is the source of this 79-nucleotide non-coding RNA. NCBI's taxonomy places the organism in Bacteria, Bacillati, Bacillota, Bacilli, Caryophanales, Bacillaceae. The record is from Rfam.